GAAAUGCGAUAAGUAAUGUGAAUUGCAGAAUUCAGUGAAUCAUCGAAUCUUUGAACGCACCUUGCGCCCUUUGGCCAUUCCGAAGGGCAUGCCUGUUUGAGUAUCAUGAACACCUCAACUCCUCAUGGCUUGCCAUGAUGAGCUUGGACUUUUGGGGGUCUUGCUGGCCUGCAGUCAGCUCCUCUCAAAUGAAUCAGCUUGCCAGUGUUUGGUAGCGCCACAGGUGUGAUAAACAUCUACUCUUGUGGUCCCCUGCCAUGUAACCUUCAGCAAUGGGGGUUUGCUGGAGCUCACAAAUGUCUUUCCUCAGUGAAGACAGAUCUUUGAUUGUUUGAUCUCAAAUCAGGUAGGACUACCCGCUGAACUUAAGCAUAUCAAUAAGCGGAAGGAAAAAGAAACUAACAAGGAUUCCCCCUAGU
This 419-nucleotide ribosomal RNA is filed under the name uncultured Thelephoraceae. RNAcentral describes it as "eukaryotic LSU rRNA". The stretch from base 1 to 106 matches the Rfam family "5.8S ribosomal RNA", at positions 50 to 154 of the family's 154-position model. The record is from RNAcentral. Lineage: Eukaryota; Fungi; Basidiomycota; Agaricomycetes; Thelephorales; Thelephoraceae.